This 1410-nucleotide ribosomal RNA is filed under the name uncultured Bacilli bacterium. Its description in RNAcentral is "bacterial SSU rRNA". It matches the Rfam family "Bacterial small subunit ribosomal RNA", at positions 29 to 1393 of the family's 1533-position model. The record is from RNAcentral. Lineage: Bacteria; Bacillati; Bacillota; Bacilli.
AUGAACGCUGGCGGCGUGCCUAAUACAUGCAAGUCGAACGCUUUGUGGUUCAACUGAUUUGAAGAGCUUGCUCAGAUAUGACGAUGGACAUUGCAAAGAGUGGCGAACGGGUGAGUAACACGUGGGAAACCUACCUCUUAGCAGGGGAUAACAUUUGGAAACAGAUGCUAAUACCGUAUAACAAUGACAACCGCAUGGUUAUUAUUUCAAAGAUGGUUCUGCUAUCACUAAGAGAUGGUCCCGCGGUGCAUUAGCUAGUUGGUAAGGUAAUGGCUUACCAAGGCGAUGAUGCAUAGCCGAGUUGAGAGACUGAUCGGCCACAAUGGGACUGAGACACGGCCCAUACUCCUACGGGAGGCAGCAGUAGGGAAUCUUCCACAAUGGGCGAAAGCCUGAUGGAGCAACGCCGCGUGUGUGAUGAAGGGUUUCGGCUCGUAAAACACUGUUGUAAGAGAAGAAUGACAUUGAGAGUAACUGUUCAAUGUGUGACGGUAUCUUACCAGAAAGGAACGGCUAAAUACGUGCCAGCAGCCGCGGUAAUACGUAUGUUCCAAGCGUUAUCCGGAUUUAUUGGGCGUAAAGCGAGCGCAGACGGUUAUUUAAGUCUGAAGUGAAAGCCCUCAGCUCAACUGAGGAAUUGCUUUGGAAACUGGAUGACUUGAGUGCAGUAGAGGAAAGUGGAACUCCAUGUGUAGCGGUGAAAUGCGUAGAUAUAUGGAAGAACACCAGUGGCGAAGGGCGGCUUUCUGGACUGUAACUGACGUUGAGGCUCGAAAGUGUGGGUAGCAAACAGGAUUAGAUACCCUGGUAGUCCACACCGUAAACGAUGAGUGCUAGGUGUUUGAGGGUUUCCGCCCUUAAGUGCCGCAGCUAACGCAUUAAGCACUCCGCCUGGGGAGUACGACCGCAAGGUUGAAACUCAAAGGAAUUGACGGGGACCCGCACAAGCGGUGGAGCAUGUGGUUUAAUUCGAAGCAACGCGAAGAACCUUACCAGGUCUUGACAUCCCUUGACAACUCCAGAGAUGGAGCGUUCCCUUCGGGGACAAGGUGACAGGUGGUGCAUGGUUGUCGUCAGCUCGUGUCGUGAGAUGUUGGGUUAAGUCCCGCAACGAGCGCAACCCUUAUUACUAGUUGCCAGCAUUUAGUUGGGCACUCUAGUGAGACUGCCGGUGACAAACCGGAGGAAGGUGGGGAUGACGUCAAAUCAUCAUGCCCCUUAUGACCUGGGCUACACACGUGCUACAAUGGCGUAUACAACGAGUUGCCAACCCGCGAGGGUGGGCUAAUCUCUUAAAGUACGUCUCAGUUCGGAUUGUAGGCUGCAACUCGCCUACAUGAAGUCGGAAUCGCUAGUAAUCGCGGAUCAGCACGCCGCGGUGAAUACGUUCCCGGGUCUUGUACUCACCGC